Molecule: transfer RNA, 70 nt
Filed under: Trichopodus pectoralis (snakeskin gourami)
Lineage: Eukaryota; Metazoa; Chordata; Actinopteri; Anabantiformes; Osphronemidae
Description: tRNA-Ile
Rfam family: tRNA
About the family: Transfer RNA (tRNA) molecules are approximately 80 nucleotides in length.
Source: RNAcentral
GGAGCUGUGCCUGAAAUAAAGGACCACUUUGAUGUAGUGAAUCAUGAGGGUUAAAAUCCCUCCAACUCCU